UUAAGUCAGCGGGUAUCCCUACCUGAUCCGAGGUCAACCUAAUAGAAGUUUUAACGGCGCGAACUCCCCUUUUCAUGAGCGAAUUGAAUGCCACAACGCUGAGAAUCGGGUCGUCCAGCCGGUGAAAUCGAGGCGUAAGGGAGCCUUAUCGCCCAAAUACCAAGCCAGGCUUGAGUGGUGUAAUGACGCUCGAACAGGCG
This 200-nucleotide unclassified non-coding RNA is filed under the name Capnodiales sp. Its description in RNAcentral is "partial internal transcribed spacer 2". The record is from RNAcentral. Lineage: Eukaryota; Fungi; Ascomycota; Dothideomycetes; Capnodiales.